GAUGAACGCUAGCUACAGGCUUAACACAUGCAAGUCGAGGGGAAACGACAUCGAAAGCUUGCUUUUGAUGGGCGUCGACCGGCGCACGGGUGAGUAACGCGUAUCCAACCUGCCCAUCACUUGGGAAUAACCUUGCGAAAGUAAGACUAAUACCCAAUGAUAUCCCACGAAGGCAUCGGAAUGGGAUUAAAGAUUUAUCGGUGAUGGGUGGGGAUGCGUCUGAUUAGCUUGUUGGCGGGGUAACGGCCCACCAAGGCAACGAUCAGUAGGGGUUCUGAGAGGAAGGUCCCCCACAUUGGAACUGAGACACGGUCCAAACUCCUACGGGAGGCAGCAGUGAGGAAUAUUGGUCAAUGGGCGAGAGCCUGAACCAGCCAAGUAGCGUGCAGGAAGACGGCCCUAUGGGUUGUAAACUGCUUUUAUAAGGGAAUAAAGUGGGUCACGUGUGACUUUUUGCAUGUACCUUAUGAAUAAGGACCGGCUAAUUCCGUG
Molecule: ribosomal RNA, 492 nt
Filed under: uncultured bacterium
Lineage: Bacteria
Description: partial 16S ribosomal RNA
Rfam family: Bacterial small subunit ribosomal RNA
Source: RNAcentral